GACGAACGCUGGCGGCGUGCCUAAUACAUGCAAGUCGAGCGGACUUUCAAGAAGCUUGCUUUUUGAAAGUUAGCGGCGGACGGGUGAGUAACACGUGGGCAACCUGUCUGUAAGACGGGGAUAACUCCGGGAAACCGGGGCUAAUACCGGAUAAUAUCUUUCUUCGCAUGAAGGAAGGUUGAAAGGCGGCGCAAGCUGCCGCUUGCAGAUGGGCCCGCGGCGCAUUAGCUAGUUGGUGAGGUAACGGCUCACCAAGGCGACGAUGCGUAGCCGACCUGAGAGGGUGAUCGGCCACACUGGGACUGAGACACGGCCCAGACUCCUACGGGGGGCAGCAGUAGGGAAUCUUCCGCAAUGGACGAAAGUCUGACGGAGCAACGCCGCGUGAGCGAGGAAGGUCUUCGGAUCGUAAAGCUCUGUUGUCAGGGAAGAACAAGUACCGUUCGAAUAGGGCGGUACCUUGACGGUACCUGACCAGAAAGCCACGGCUAACUACGUGCCAGCAGCCGCCGCAG
This 515-nucleotide ribosomal RNA is filed under the name uncultured bacterium. RNAcentral's name for it is "partial 16S ribosomal RNA". It matches the Rfam family "Bacterial small subunit ribosomal RNA", at positions 28 to 523 of the family's 1533-position model. The record is from RNAcentral.